UAACAACAUCAGGUCAGUAGUUCUAUAAUAUACAGUAGUGUUCUGUUACCUACAUCUACUAGCUAACAACAUCAGGUCAGUAGUUCUAUAAUAUACAGUAGUGUUCUGUUACCUACAUCUACUAGCUAACAACAUCAGGUCAGUAGUUCUAUAAUAUACAGUAGUGUUCUGUUACCUACAUCUACUAGCUAACAACAUCAGGUCAGUAGUUCUAUAAUAUACAGUAGUGUUCUGUUACCUACAUCUACUAGCUAACAACAUCAGGUCAGUAGUUCUAUAAUAUACAGUAGUGUUCUGUUACCUACAUCUACUAGCUAACAACAUCAGGUCAGUAGUUCUAUAAUAUACAGUAGUGUUCUGUUACCUACAUCUACUAGCUAACAACAUCAGGUCAGUAGUUCUAUAAUAUACAGUAGUGUUCUGUUACCUACAUCUACUAGCUAACAACAUCAGGUCAGUAGUUCUAUAAUAUACAGUAGUGUUCUGUUACCUACAUCUACUAGCUAACAACAUCAGGUCAGUAGUUCUAUAAUAUACAGUAGUGUUCUGUUCACUACAUCUACUAGCUAACAACAUCAGGUCAGUAGUUCUAUAAUAUACAGUAGUGUUCUGUUCACUACAUCUACUAGCUAACAACAUCAGGUCAGUAGUUCUAUAAUAUACAGUAGUGUUCUGU
This is a long non-coding RNA of Oncorhynchus keta (chum salmon), 676 nucleotides long. RefSeq lists it as uncharacterized. The record is from RefSeq and is a predicted model, not a curated record. NCBI's taxonomy places the organism in Eukaryota, Metazoa, Chordata, Actinopteri, Salmoniformes, Salmonidae. The transcript has 7 exons.